RNAcentral lists this unclassified non-coding RNA (760 nucleotides) under uncultured Prochlorococcus sp. Its description in RNAcentral is "partial 16S-23S ribosomal RNA intergenic spacer; may also contain 16S ribosomal RNA and 23S ribosomal RNA". The stretch from base 1 to 93 matches the Rfam family "Bacterial small subunit ribosomal RNA", at positions 1441 to 1533 of the family's 1533-position model. The record is from RNAcentral. Lineage: Bacteria; Bacillati; Cyanobacteriota; Cyanophyceae; Synechococcales; Prochlorococcaceae.
UUGUGGAGGAGGACGCCGAAGGUGGGGCUGAUGACUGGGGUGAAGUCGUAACAAGGUAGCCGUACCGGAAGGUGCGGCUGGAUCACCUCCUAACAGGGAGACAAAACUGAUUAUGAUGUCUGAUUAAAAUAUUAGGCCUUAAUCCUGUCACCUUAGGUCGAUCGGUACCUCAGAUUGAUAACUAGAAAAUGGGGAGUAAUUCUUAUAUUUAGUUUUUCAGUCUUAGUUCCUAAACUUGUCUAGGUCACACCCAACAAACUUUCUCCUGGGCUAUUAGCUCAGGCGGUUAGAGCGCACCCCUGAUAAGGGUGAGGUCCCUGGUUCAAGUCCAGGAUGGCCCAUUCGUUGUUGGGGGUAUAGCUCAGUUGGUAGAGCGCCUGCUUUGCAAGCAGGAUGUCAGCGGUUCGAGUCCGCUUACCUCCACUGAUCAACUACCUGAUAACUCAUAUGGAGAUUGUUAUUUGUUGAAUGUGAUUUAGAAGUUGUUCAUCUGAAUGAACCUAGCUUCCUAUCACCCUAUAUAAAGUAUGGCUGAUAAGACGCUGGGCUCACUGUUAUUCGAAAGAGUAUCAGUUUGAUUCAGCAGAACCUUGACAACUGCAUAGGAAAAUCUAGAAAAAUAAAGCAUCUCAUAGAUGCAUAGAAAAUUAUGUUCAGAAAUAUUGAAUGUAAUUUUACUAUGUUCAAUUCUUGAGUUAGAGCAUAAUUUGUUUUGCAUUUUAAUCUAAAUACAGAACAAAUUUAAUUGGUCAAGCUACAA